This is a long non-coding RNA of Acyrthosiphon pisum (pea aphid), 604 nucleotides long. RefSeq lists it as uncharacterized. The transcript has 3 exons. NCBI's taxonomy places the organism in Eukaryota, Metazoa, Arthropoda, Insecta, Hemiptera, Aphididae. The record is from RefSeq and is a predicted model, not a curated record.
GAUAACGCUUGCCAUUGUUUAUAUCACGUACCACAGCCGCGGCACAGAGUUACUUAAUACUUAGUUACUUCGAGGCUACUUUGAUUACUUACCUACUUACUUCUAUAGAAAGUAUAGAAUACUGUGGAAUACUGUCAUGAACUGCGACGGUUAAGUAAUAAAGAUAUAUAGUAUAUAAGUAUAUUUUUAAUUUCAUUGUGAUACCUCAAUACCUGUAGUAUGUUGUACUAGCCUAUACGCUGUGGUUUGAAGUUGAAAGUUGAAACAGUUCAAUAAGUACAACAACCUAGAAUAAGCCAAUCAAUGAUGUUAGACGAGGUGGCCAUCAAUUAUUCUGAGUAUCUACCUACUUAAAGCUCAACAAUAAGAAAGAGGUUGGCGUACUGAAAGGUGUCGUUGAAUAUGUAUUUGAAUAUGCUCACCAGACUGGAAGAGUUUCAGACAUUGAAAGUGAAAGUGGUAGGUAACAAAAUACCAAGGGUGUCCAUCUUUGAAAAUCCAGGAGGAGGAUACUGUAUUUUUUCAAUAAUUUUGAGCAGGGAGUUUAAUUUCUAAUAAAAUGUAAAAUAUAUAACAUAAAUAAUGCACUUUAAUAUUUAAUUGA